Molecule: unclassified non-coding RNA, 401 nt
Filed under: plant metagenome
Description: partial contains 5.8S ribosomal RNA, internal transcribed spacer 2, and large subunit ribosomal RNA
Rfam family: Bacterial small subunit ribosomal RNA
Source: RNAcentral
GGAAUAUUGGACAAUGGGCGCAAGCCUGAUCCAGCCAUGCCGCGUGAGUGAUGAAGGCCCUAGGGUUGUAAAGCUCUUUUGGCGGGGAAGAUAAUGACGGUACCCGCAGAAUAAGCCCCGGCUAACUUCGUGCCAGCAGCCGCGGUAAUACGAAGGGGGCUAGCGUUGCUCGGAAUCACUGGGCGUAAAGGGCGCGUAGGCGGCCAUUCAAGUCGGGGGUGAAAGCCCAGGGCUCAACCCUGGAAUUGCCUUCGAUACUGUUUGGCUAGAGACCGGAAGAGGUUAGUGGAACUGCGAGUGUAGAGGUGAAAUUCGUAGAUAUUCGCAAGAACACCAGUGGCGAAGGCGGCUAACUGGUCCGGUUCUGACGCUGAGGCGCGAAAGCGUGGGGAGCAAACAGG